CUUUGACUGUAUAUAUGUUUAUAUGUAAAUGUGUAUGUUUUUUUUAGGAUAUGUUUAAAAAAUCAACUAACAUUUUUCAUGGUGCCUGUACUUUGACAAAAUCUCAACUUUGAUAUUUACGGUGGCUGGGAAGUGCAAAGCGCAACAAAUUAAAAAACCGCAACAAAUUAAAAAACCGCAACAAAUUAAAAAUCCACAACAAAUUAAAAAUCCUUGACGGAAAGGGAUUGUCUGAAAUACCGGAAGUGACACAACGAUUAGCCUAAUAGGGCUUUUGGAGAGUGAUGUCACGAGAGGGGGCGUGACCAGAAAUUUUUGGUUGAGGCGCCAUGUUUCUGGGCCGAACAAAACGCUAGCGAAAGAGGAGCAAAAGUACACGGAUAACACCAGCUAUGGUUCGUACGUGAGGUGUGUUCAGUUGUAAAGUUAGAUCGCACGACCGGCAAGGGAAAAAGGUUGAAAAUCGUUUAUCUUUUCAUUCUUUCCCCACUUGGAAGCAACAUGAGGCAGCUCGUGUAUCGGAUGUUACCAAAAGAAGGCGUCUAGUCUGGAUAGCAGCUGUGAGACGAGCUGCUAUCCAGUUCUCUUCCAUCUCCAAAUAUCUGUUGGUGUGCUCCAGACAUUUUCAUUCCGGCAAACCAGCCAAUGAAAUGGAUGAAACACCGUGACUGGGUUCCAGCGCUACACAAGGGACCUGCUUCAAACGUACGGCUCUGCUAUCACUUCCAACAUACCACCAUGCCAAUCAGAUUACUUCUUCCAUGUGAGGGUGAAGAGGUGACCCUUCUGGAUAAGACAGUGAAGGUUUGCUGCCGUUUUGGUGAACAGUGUGGUAGUAAAACCAGGGAAAAAUGAAACUUGCUCCUGUUAAAUAUUCUUAAGUCUUGUGCUGUAUAAAUAGCAGUAAUUUUUCAGAAGAUAAAUUGAAGUAAUUGAUAGUAAAUUAAGUAGUGUUAGUAGUGGGUGAUAUCGUGUAAAUGCUGUCAUGAUUUUGUGUAAACAUUUUGUCUUUUAUAAACUAUAAAUGACAUUGAUUCUACAUUGUAACUGAUGUGAUGUUCUAUAAAGUGGUUUUAAUAAAAAAAGAGGCA
This is a long non-coding RNA of Oreochromis aureus, 1091 nucleotides long. Lineage: Eukaryota; Metazoa; Chordata; Actinopteri; Cichliformes; Cichlidae. The record is from Ensembl.